This 92-nucleotide small nuclear RNA is filed under the name Vicugna pacos (alpaca). Lineage: Eukaryota; Metazoa; Chordata; Mammalia; Artiodactyla; Camelidae. The record is from RNAcentral.
GUGCUCAAUUCGGCAGCACAUAUACUAAAACUGGAACAAUACAGAGAUUAGCAUGGCACCUGCACAAGGAUGACACACAAAUUCAUAUUUUU